Molecule: microRNA, 21 nt
Filed under: Drosophila yakuba
Lineage: Eukaryota; Metazoa; Arthropoda; Insecta; Diptera; Drosophilidae
Description: dya-miR-9690-5p
Source: miRBase by way of RNAcentral
AGUUUCCGGGACUUCGUACUG